Molecule: long non-coding RNA, 1224 nt
Organism: Mauremys reevesii (Reeves's turtle)
Lineage: Eukaryota; Metazoa; Chordata; Testudines; Geoemydidae
Exons: 4
Source: RefSeq, a predicted model, not a curated record
CUUUAUGAUGCAAGUGAUUGGUCACAGUAUGAGACUGCUACUGUCAGUGCUCUCAUGAUUUCGCCUCUUGCUUCAAUCAUCUCAAAUAAUCAGUAAAACCAAGAUGAUCUUUGAGGCAAUGCCAUAAAAAGGACAUUUAGAGCUAUUGUAUCAACAGUCAUGGACAUGAUUCUACAGACCAAUCAAACAUUUUGCUGGGAAGACAGCACACUCCCUAUCAUCUGGACUCUAUCAAGUUCUGUCUCGGAGACCAGGUCCUUCUUCCUGAUGGAUAGGAGCCCCUCAGGACCAAACUGUAGAACAUAAAGAAGGAAGACUGCUGAAAACACCUGAAGAAACAAAGGAACUGAGCUGGGGUGGGGCAGGGCUGAGCCCAGGCUGGGAAUGGUGUCUGGCCCGUGAAGGAUGUACCUGGAGUGUUAAGCUGCAAGCAAGAACUGUUUGUCCACAAAGAAAUUCUGCAACCUGAUUAAAACAACAUUUAGGUAAGAAAUUGCUGUAGUGGACACAGGGAUGUUACACCAUUGUGAAUGUGGAAGGGGAUCUAAGGGAACCUGAAUGGUCCAAAAAAGCAGAACCUAUGUUACAGUGUAUGGUGUUCCACACUGUGAAAUGGUUGGGAAACAGACAGAGCACCUCGAACACUUUCAGGCACUAUAAAGUAAUAAGAAGAAAAUACUUACCAGCUGCAGUCAUCUUACAUUGAGAAAUGUAAGCGAAGGUUGAGAUAUAUUUUAUAUUGGCCUGUGAUGAAGUUUCUCACACUGGAGGUGGCUACAGCUCUUUGGGAUACAUGUGAAUGUAGACUAAUGAAAUCCCUGAGAUACCAUAGCAAAGACCAGGACAUUAUAUGACUAUGAUAAGGAAACCUGCUAACUAUUACUUGAUUGCCUCUUUACAUUCCUAGAGACUUCAAAACUAACAUACAAAUGGCCAGAUUCUAGCCAGUUCCUUGUGCAUACACAUGGGAGGAGAAGGGUUCAAAGAUGGAGGGCUUAAUAACUGUUAUACACGACUUCAGCUUUACUUUAUUUCUCCCAAAGUCCACAGUUUGUUAAGUGUCAUUUUGGUGUCACUAUUAACUAUUUUACUUUUUCUGCUACUAUGACAAGAGAUCUGAUGUUACAAUGAUGUAUAACAUUAGAAGUUAUUACUUUAAAUUGUUUUAGUUUAUGAAAUUCAAUAAAGCACAUUUCUUUUUUUUAUUGUAAAACUGCAUUUUCC